GUAACUGUAAUCAAUAUAGUAAAAUAAUUACUUUUUAAAUUAAAAAUAUACAUAUAAAGUAUCAAUGGGUUAUUGUGUAAAUUUUACACUAUAUUUUGUUACCUCAAAAAAACUAGGUCAUUCCUAUUUUGUUACCUCAAAAAAACUAUUAAUUUAGUCAAUGUCGUUAAAGAAAUUAACCAAAUUGAUCACUCAACUGUUAAAUUUAAUGAAAUGCUCUCGUUUCCUUUUUUUUUCUUUCUUCCUUAUUUUUUUUCACCUUCUCCCUUAUAACCCAGAAACCCUAGCCGCAGCCUCCUUUAAAGAUGUUGUUGCUUCUUUUGUCGAACCACUACAGUAAGCGUUGUCCUAUCAAUGAGCAACGCUAAGGGACUCUUUUUUCUCCCUAUUUCCAUGUUUUCCUUUUCCUUACCCAUGGUUCCUGCUUCUCACUAUCUCUAUAGUGAUCGUCCGACAUCUUCUUCGGCACCAAAUUGUCGAUCCAAAGCCACCAAAGUGAAGCCCAAAGCAUUCUCUUAAAAUCUAUAGGAUUACAUUUGUCCAAAAAAAACCCCUAACAAUUGUGAGGCCACUCCCAAAGCUUUAGAAUUUCCGUGCUCUAAUAUCCUAAUCCCCUUAUCAUUAUGGCUUGAUUUUGAGAUGGCUUUAUACUUUUGAGCUAGCAAACAAUGGUUCGACGGAAGCAAUGAUGACAUCUUUAAGAGAGGUGGAGGCUAGGGUUUCUGUGUUAGAAGGGAGAAGAUGAAGAAAAGGAGGGGAGAUAGAAAAAAAAAAGAGAAAGGUUAAAAAAACUAAAAAUAAAUUUAAUGGUGGAAGAGAUGGACUUAAUGGUUGAGUGAUUGAUUUGAUCAAUUUCUUGAACGAGAGUGACCAAAUUUACAAAAAAAAAAAUUUUGAAGUGACUAAAAUAGGAACGACCUAAAUUUAAAG
This 930-nucleotide long non-coding RNA is filed under the name Gossypium barbadense (sea-island cotton). Its description in RNAcentral is "long non-coding RNA (GBAR_LNC017788)". Lineage: Eukaryota; Viridiplantae; Streptophyta; Magnoliopsida; Malvales; Malvaceae. The record is from RNAcentral.